This is a non-coding RNA of Kosmotoga olearia TBF 19.5.1, 331 nucleotides long. It matches the Rfam family "Bacterial RNase P class A". Rfam says of the family: Ribonuclease P (RNase P) is a ubiquitous endoribonuclease, found in archaea, bacteria and eukarya as well as chloroplasts and mitochondria. Its best characterised activity is the generation of mature 5'-ends of tRNAs by cleaving the 5'-leader elements of precursor-tRNAs. The record is from Rfam. NCBI's taxonomy places the organism in Bacteria, Thermotogati, Thermotogota, Thermotogae, Kosmotogales, Kosmotogaceae.
AGAGUGAGGCGGGUGGUCGCGGCGUUAGCCGAGGAAAGUCCGGACUCCUUGGGCGAGGAUGCUGGGUAACACCCAGGGGGAGUGAUCCCCGGUAAGGGCCAUAGAGAAGAAGACCGCCGUUAAGGCAAGGGUGGAACGGUGGGGUAAGAGCCCACCAGGUCCGGGGUGACCCGGAUGCUUGGCAACCCCCAUCCGGAGCAAGUCCAAGCAGAGAGGGUUUGAGGUCGCCCACCGAAUCCCUCUCGGGUAGGACGCUUGAGGGGUACGGUAACGUACCUCCCAGAUAGAUGACCACCUAAAACAGAAUCCGGCUUACGGCCUCACUCUCCAG